Molecule: unclassified non-coding RNA, 347 nt
Filed under: Hevea brasiliensis (rubber tree)
Lineage: Eukaryota; Viridiplantae; Streptophyta; Magnoliopsida; Malpighiales; Euphorbiaceae
Source: RNAcentral
GAUUGAACUGAGUAUGUCAUGGGAGGUGGACACCAAAAAUUGUGUUGAUCAAGAAGUUGCCUCAAUUAUUAUUCCAACUGAUAAGUGAAAAAUGCAUAAAGCGCCCGGCAUGAAUAAUUAUUUCAGAGAUGUUAGUUCUGCCAUGUCCACAAUGCAUUUGAGAGCUUGCAUUAGCAGUUAUUUAUUUUACUUUAAAAGAAGUUUAACUUCUUAGUAGAAUGAAAGCCCAAAAGUAGGUGCAAAGUACAACUCAUAAUAACAAGUAUAACAAUAAAUACUUAGACCCUAAAUUUCCCAAGUACGUUUGAGUUCUUGAGAAUUACCUUUCCAUUGGAGCCUUCACCCAU